GCUGGCGUGGCCGAGUGAGUUGUCAUGGCGCACGCGCGUUUUGAAAACGUUUUUGCUCAUGGGCGUGGGUUCGAACCCCAUCGUCGGCA
This 89-nucleotide transfer RNA is filed under the name Aedes aegypti (yellow fever mosquito). It matches the Rfam family "tRNA". Rfam says of the family: Transfer RNA (tRNA) molecules are approximately 80 nucleotides in length. The record is from Rfam by way of RNAcentral. Lineage: Eukaryota; Metazoa; Arthropoda; Insecta; Diptera; Culicidae.